RNAcentral lists this ribosomal RNA (388 nucleotides) under uncultured bacterium. RNAcentral's name for it is "bacterial SSU rRNA". It matches the Rfam family "Bacterial small subunit ribosomal RNA", at positions 28 to 417 of the family's 1533-position model. The record is from RNAcentral.
GACGAACGCUGGCGGCGUGCUUAACACAUGCAAGUCGAGCGGUAAGGCCCUUUCGGGGGUACACGAGCGGCGAACGGGUGAGUAACACGUGGGUGACCUGCCCUCAGCUCUGGGAUAAGCCUGGGAAACCGGGUCUAAUACUGGAUAUGACUCCAUGACGCAUGUUGUGGGGUGGAAAGCCUUGUGCGGCUAAGGAUGGGCCCGCGGCCUAUCAGCUUGUUGGUGGGGUGAUGGCCUACCAAGGCGACGACGGGUAGCCGGCCUGAGAGGGCGACCGGCCACACUGGGACUGAGACACGGCCCAGACUCCUACGGGAGGCAGCAGUGGGGAAUCUUGCGCAAUGGGCGAAAGCCUGACGCAGCGACGCCGCGUGAGGGAUGACGGCCU